Non-coding RNA from Xyrichtys novacula (pearly razorfish), 1428 nucleotides. NCBI's taxonomy places the organism in Eukaryota, Metazoa, Chordata, Actinopteri, Labriformes, Labridae. The record is from the annotation of a GenBank genome assembly.
AGAAAAAGAGAAUCUAUCCGACCCAAACAUCGGUCGCCGAUAAAAUAAGAUGUUAGUUUGAAGCAUCUUAACAGAAAAGUUAGCUAACAGUUUUAACAGAGAAGUUCCUGGAUUAACAAAGUUAGCUAACACUGUUAGCUAACAGUGUUUAUGUUCUCAACACGGAUCUUCACAUUACUAACAAACAUUAACUCUACAUAUUUACACGUUUUAAUCUAAUGUAACUGUCAGUUCACCCUGACUGAGCCGGUUAACGGUCCAGAGACAGUUUUUACCUGCUUUAUUGAACUGACAGACGUGUUUACAGACUCAGCAGGUUAAACGGAAAAACUGUAAAAAUUAAAAUGUACGAUCUGAAAUCUGUGCAAAAUAAACCUCUUUAAUUUUGAAUUAUUUAUUCCUCUUCUAUCACCUGGCUCUGUUCUCAGUGGUGUUUACACCUGUUCAGUUCACCUGCUCAGUGUUAAACUCACCUGUUUACUCAGCAGGGCCUGAGGGAGUCAGGGGGCCCUGGGGGGCCUCUGCUCUCAGCUGCAGCUCACUGCUAAUUACACUUAAGACUAAUGUGAAGAUGAUGAUAAUGAGGAUAACAAAACUGCUGAAAGACAUUUGAUACAAACCUCUGACAUAAUGAGACACACCAACACCUUAAUUAUCCUACAGGUGUGUUUCAGCUCCAAACAAAAUAUCAAUAAUUCAUAUUUCUGUUUGACGAUAAACUUUAACAGGGGAUCAUGUGAUCAUCUGAGUAACUCUGCUGUUUAUAUUGUGAAGGUUUUCAGAGAAAAACUAAAAGUGUUUUAAAUACAGAUCACUGAAAAUGAUGAAUGUUGUGAAGGUUUUGGUUUUAGUGUCUCUGUCAGUUUAUUCACAUGUGGUUGAAACUGAAUGUUUUCAUACCUGAACACUUGGAGAAGAGGGACUUCUUCAUCAGUAAUGCAUAGAAACAGGUGAUCCAAAUGAGGUUUUAAGUUUAUUUUGCAUUUUUCCUCCUAAAUCUGUGAACCUUGACGUUAAACAGGAGCUGUCGUCGUACAGAUUACAGAUUGUUUUUGACGUUGAGUCUGUUUGUUCUGCAGUUUUACCUCCAGGCUGUUUUAUUUGUGCUGAAGCAGGGCUGUUGUCCUGCCGCUCUCUGAGGACGUUACAUCAGAAACUCUGGCAGAGACAUCGUCACCUCUGUACCUGCUGACACCUCAUACUCCCAUCAGUCUGCACCAAACCUCCCCGCUCGCCGCCUUCUGUUUAACCCGACUAGAGUCCUCAGGUGGGUAAAAACCAUAGACUGUAUAUAGAAUAUAUAGAAUAAUAACAGUAUAUACAGUCUAUGGUAAAAAACAAACAGAAGGAUAAACAGGAGGAUGACGUCUCUCAGUACUUUCAGAAGUCCUUGUUGGAUCAUUGUGGGACUUCUGAUGAGGUCAGAAG